AGCGGCGGACGGGUGAGUAACACGUGGAUAACCUACCUAUAAGACUGGGAUAACUUCGGGAAACCGGAGCUAAUACCGGAUAAUAUUUUGAACCGCAUGGUUCAAAAGUGAAAGACGGUCUUGCUGUCACUUAUAGAUGGAUCCGCGCUGCAUUAGCUAGUUGGUAAGGUAACGGCUUACCAAGGCAACGAUGCAUAGCCGACCUGAGAGGGUGAUCGGCCACACUGGAACUGAGACACGGUCCAGACUCCUACGGGAGGCAGCAGUAGGGAAUCUUCCGCAAUGGGCGAAAGCCUGACGGAGCAACGCCGCGUGAGUGAUGAAGGUCUUCGGAUCGUAAAACUCUGUUAUUAGGGAAGAACAUAUGUGUAAGUAACUGUGCACAUCUUGACGGUACCUAAUCAGAAAGCCACGGCUAACUACGUGCCAGCAGCCGCGGUAAUACGUAGGUGGCAAGCGUUAUCCGGAAUUAUUGGGCGUAAAGCGCGCGUAGGCGGUUUUUUAAGUCUGAUGUGAAAGCCCACGGCUCAACCGUGGAGGGUCAUUGGAAACUGGAAAACUUGAGUGCAGAAGAGGAAAGUGGAAUUCCAUGUGUAGCGGUGAAAUGCGCAGAGAUAUGGAGGAACACCAGUGGCGAAGGCGACUUUCUGGUCUGUAACUGACGCUGAUGUGCGAAAGCGUGGGGAUCAAACAGGAUUAGAUACCCUGGUAGUCCACGCCGUAAACGAUGAGUGCUAAGUGUUAGGGGGUUUCCGCCCCUUAGUGCUGCAGCUAACGCAUUAAGCACUCCGCCUGGGGAGUACGACCGCAAGGUUGAAACUCACAGGAAUUGACGGGGACCCGCACAAGCGGUGGAGCAUGUGGUUUAAUUCGAAGCAACGCGAAGAACCUUACCAAAUCUUGACAUCCUUUGACAACUCUAGAGAUAGAGCUUUCCCCUUCGGGGGACAAAGUGACAGGUGGUGCAUGGUUGUCGUCAGCUCGUGUCGUGAGAUGUUGG
This 1000-nucleotide ribosomal RNA is filed under the name Staphylococcus aureus. RNAcentral describes it as "bacterial SSU rRNA". It matches the Rfam family "Bacterial small subunit ribosomal RNA", at positions 94 to 1078 of the family's 1533-position model. Lineage: Bacteria; Bacillati; Bacillota; Bacilli; Caryophanales; Staphylococcaceae. The record is from RNAcentral.